GGGCCCGCACAAGCGGUGGAGUAUGUGGUUUAAUUCGAUGCAACGCGAAGAACCUUACCAGGGUUUGACAUCCUGCGAAUCUCUUGGAAACUUGAGAGUGCCUUCGGGAGCGCAGUGACAGGUGGUGCAUGGCUGUCGUCAGCUCGUGUCGUGAGAUGUUGGGUUAAGUCCCGCAACGAGCGCAACCCACGUCUUUAGUUGCCAGCAUUUAGUUGGGCACUCUAGAGAGACCGCCGGUGAUAAACCGGAGGAAGGUGUGGAUGACGUCAAGUCAUCAUGCCCCUUACAUCCUGGGCUACACACGUACUACAAUGCUACGGACAAAGGGCAGCAAACUCGCGAGAGCUAGCAAAUCCCAUAAACCGUGGCUCAGUUCAGAUCGUAGGCUGCAACUCGCCUACGUGAAGGCGGAAUCGCUAGUAAUCG
RNAcentral lists this ribosomal RNA (426 nucleotides) under uncultured bacterium. RNAcentral's name for it is "bacterial SSU rRNA". It matches the Rfam family "Bacterial small subunit ribosomal RNA", at positions 917 to 1344 of the family's 1533-position model. The record is from RNAcentral.